UGAUGUGAUUUGAAAGUCACGCGGUAAAUUCGCGGGAAACCAGCUGCCAGUUGGCUAUAUAAGUAAAGCAAGCGCAGUGCACGGCCAGUGCUUAUGUGACUCUCGCGCCGCGAUGUGAUGAGAUUUGAAAGUCACGCGGUAAAUUCGCGGGAAGCUGGCUGCCAGUUGGCUAUAUAAGUAAAGCAAGCACCGUGCCUGGCCAGUGCUUAGGUGACUCUCGCGCCGCGAUGUGACGAGAUUUGAAAGUCACACGGUAAAUUCGCGGGAAGCCAGCUGCCAGUUGGCUAUAUAAGUAAAGCAAGCACAGUGCCUGGCCAGUGCUUAGGUGACUCUCGCGCCGCGAUGUGACGAGAUUUGAAAGUCACACGGUAAAUUCGCGGGAAGCCAGCUGCCAGUUGGCUAUAUAAGUAAAGCAAGCACAGUGCCCGGCCAGUGCUUAGGUGACUCUCGCGCCGCGAUGUGAUGAGAUUUGAAAGUCACGCGGUAAAUUCGCGGGAAGCCAGCUGCCAGUUGGCUAUAUAAGUAAAGCAAGCACCGUGCCUGGUCAGUGCUUAGGUGACUCUCGCGCCGCGAUGUGAUGAGAUUUGAAAGUCGCGCGGUAAAUUCGCGGGAAGCCAGCUGCCAGUUGGCUAUAUAAGUGAAGCAAGCACGGUGCCCGGCCAGUGCUUCUGUGACUCUCGCGCCGCGAUGUGAUGAGAUUUGAAAGUCACGCAGUAAAUUUGCGGGAAGCCAGCUGCCAGUUGGCUAUAUACUAUAAUUCGCAUAGUAAUUGUCACACUCGUUGUGUUACGUGUUCGACUGCGAACCGUGCAAUAAGAGACUACC
Long non-coding RNA from Bactrocera dorsalis (oriental fruit fly), 825 nucleotides. RefSeq lists it as uncharacterized. The record is from RefSeq and is a predicted model, not a curated record. The transcript is spliced from 3 exons. Lineage: Eukaryota; Metazoa; Arthropoda; Insecta; Diptera; Tephritidae.